GAUGAACGCUGGCGGCGUGCCUAAUACAUGCAAGUCGAGCGAACAGACGAGGAGCUUGCUCCUCUGACGUUAGCGGCGGACGGGUGAGUAACACGUGGAUAACCUACCUAUAAGACUGGGAUAACUUCGGGAAACCGGAGCUAAUACGGGAUAAUAUAUUGAACCGCAUUGUUCAAUAGUGAAAGACGGUUUUGCUGUCACUUAUAGAUGGAUCCGCGCCGCAUUAGCUGGUUGGGAAGGUAACGGCUUACCAAGGCAACGAUGCGUAGCCGACCUGAGAGGGUGAUCGGCCACACUGGAACUGAGACACGGUCCAGACUCCUACGGGAGGAAGCAGUAGGGAACCUUCCGCAAUGGGGGAAAGCCUGACGGAGCAACGCCGCGUGAGUGAUGAAGGUCUUCGGAUCGGAAAACCCUGUUAUUAGGGAAGAACAAAUUUGGAAGGAAAUAUGCACGUCUUGACGGUACCUAAUCAGAAAGCCACGGCUAACUACGUG
This 497-nucleotide ribosomal RNA is filed under the name uncultured bacterium. RNAcentral's name for it is "partial 16S ribosomal RNA". It matches the Rfam family "Bacterial small subunit ribosomal RNA", at positions 28 to 507 of the family's 1533-position model. The record is from RNAcentral.